This 253-nucleotide ribosomal RNA is filed under the name uncultured bacterium. RNAcentral describes it as "partial 16S ribosomal RNA". It matches the Rfam family "Bacterial small subunit ribosomal RNA", at positions 524 to 776 of the family's 1533-position model. The record is from RNAcentral.
GACAGAGGGUGCAAACGUUGUUCGGAAUUACUGGGCGUAAAGCGCGUGUAGGCUGCUCAGAAAGUCGGAUGUGAAAGCCCUGGGCUUAACCUAGGAAGUGCAUUCGAAACUUCUGAGCUUGAGUUCUGGAGAGGAAGGCGGAAUUCUCGGUGUAGAGGUGAAAUUCGUAGAUAUCGAGAGGAACACCGGUGGCGAAGGCGGCCUUCUGGACCGACACUGACGCUGAGGCGCGAAAGCCAGGGGAGCAAACGGG